Molecule: ribosomal RNA, 173 nt
Filed under: uncultured bacterium
Lineage: Bacteria
Description: partial 16S ribosomal RNA
Rfam family: Bacterial small subunit ribosomal RNA
Source: RNAcentral
CUGGGAUUGCGAAUGGGGGCAGCCUGAUCCAGCCAUGCCGCGUGAGUGAUGAAGGCCUUCGGGUUGUAAAGCUCUUUUGUCCGGGAAGAUAUUGACCGUACCAGCACUCUAAGCCCCUGACGGUUCCGUGCCAACAACCACCGUCAUACUACGUGCCAGCAGCCGCGGUAAUA